This 1831-nucleotide ribosomal RNA is filed under the name uncultured Oxytrichidae. RNAcentral's name for it is "SSU rRNA". It matches the Rfam family "Eukaryotic small subunit ribosomal RNA". The record is from RNAcentral. Lineage: Eukaryota; Ciliophora; Spirotrichea; Sporadotrichida; Oxytrichidae.
UGCGAGUACAGCUGGUACGAGCCGGCAUNCGCAUAAACGGCCGCCAGUGUGCUGGCAUCGCCGUACUGGUUGAUCCUGCCAGUAGUCAUAUGCUUGUCUCAAAGACUAAGCCAUGCAUGUCUAAGUAUAAAUGUUAUACAGUGAAACUGCGAAUGGCUCAUUAAAACAGUUAUAGUUUAUUUGAUAAUCGAAUUUACAUGGAUAACCGUGGUAAUUCUAGAGCUAAUACAUGCUGGUUAGCCUGACUUUUAGGAAGGGCUGUAUUUAUUAGAUAACAAACCAAUAUUCCUUGUGUCUAUUGUGACGACUCAUAAUAACUGAUCGAAUCGCAUGGCCUUUGGCCGCGAUAAAUCAUUCAAGUUUCUGCCCCAUCAGCUUUCGAUGGUAGUGUAUUGGACUACCAUGGCUUUAACGGGUAACGGAGGAUUAGGGUUCGAUUCCGGAGAGGGGGCCUGAGAAACGGCUACCACAUCUAAGGAAGGCAGCAGGCGCGUAAAUUACCCAAUCGCGACUCGCGGAGGUAGUGACAAGAAAUAACGGACCGAAGCCUAUGUUUCGGGAUUGCAAUGAGUAGAAUUUAAACCCCUUUACGAGGAUCAAUUGGAGGGCAAGUCUGGUGCCAGCAGCCGCGGUAAUUCCAGCUCCAAUAGCGUAUAUUAAAGUUGUUGCAGUUAAAAAGCUCGUAGUUGGACUUCUGGGAGGUUGUCAAUGUCCGCUUGUUAGCGUGUGCAGCGACGGCCUUCCAUCCUUCUGUUAACGUUUCUUGGUAUUCAUUUACUGGUUUCGGGCUCAGAUAUUUUACCUUGAGAAAAUUAGAGUGUUUCAGGCAGGCUUGCGCCGGAAUACAUUAGCAUGGAAUAAUAGAAUAGGACUUUUGUCUCCUUUGUUGGUUUGAGGGACUGAAGUAAUGAUUAAUAGGGAUAGUUGGGGGCAUUAGUAUUUAAUUGUCAGAGGUGAAAUUCUCGGAUUUGUUAAAGACUAACUUAUGCGAAAGCAUUUGCCAAGGAUGUUUUCAUUAAUCAAGAACGAAAGUUAGGGGAUCAAAGACGAUCAGAUACCGUCCUAGUCUUAACCAUAAACUAUGCCGACUAGGGAUCGGAGGCGCGCUAUAUCCGCCUUCGGCACCUUAUGAGAAAUCAAAGUCUUUGGGUUCUGGGGGGGGUAUGGUCGCAAGGCUGAAACUUAAAGGAAUUGACGGAAGGGCACCACCAGGAGUGGAGCUUGCGGCUCAAUUUGACUCAACACGGGAAAACUUACCAGGUCCAGACAUAGUGAGGAUUGACAGAUUGAUAGCUCUUUCUUGAUUCUAUGGGUGGUGGUGCAUGGCCGUUCUUAGUUGGUGGAGUGAUUUGUCUGGUUAAUUCCGUUAACGAACGAGACCUUAGCCUACUAACUAGUCGACUCAAUCUCGAUUGAUUCCGACUUCUUAGAGGGACUUUGUGGGUUAAACACAAGGAAGUUUGAGGCAAUAACAGGUCUGUGAUGCCCUUAGAUGUCCUGGGCCGCACGCGUGCUACACUGACACAUACAGCGAGUACUUCCCAGCUCCGAGAGGCAGCUGGUAAUCAGCAAUAUGUGUCGUGAUGGGGAUAGAUCUUUGGGAAUAUAGAUCUUGAACGAGGAAUUUCCCUAGUCAGCGCAAGUCAUUACCUUGCGCUGAUUAAUGUCCCUGCCCUCUUGUACACACCGCCCGUCGCUCUUACCGAUUUCGAGUGGUCCGGUGAACCUUUUGGACCGCGCCGAGUAUCGUGCUUGCUGUGGGAAAUCAAGUAAACCAUAUCACCUAGAGGAAGGAGAAGUCGUAACAAGGUAUUCCGUAGGUGAACCUGCA